This 933-nucleotide ribosomal RNA is filed under the name Klebsiella pneumoniae. RNAcentral describes it as "bacterial SSU rRNA". It matches the Rfam family "Bacterial small subunit ribosomal RNA", at positions 27 to 951 of the family's 1533-position model. Lineage: Bacteria; Pseudomonadati; Pseudomonadota; Gammaproteobacteria; Enterobacterales; Enterobacteriaceae. The record is from RNAcentral.
GAUUGAACGCUGGCGGCAGGCCUAACACAUGCAAGUCGAGCGGUAGCACAGAGAGCUUGCUCUCGGGUGACGAGCGGCGGACGGGUGAGUAAUGUCUGGGAAACUGCCUGAUGGAGGGGGAUAACUACUGGAAACGGUAGCUAAUACCGCAUAAUGUCGCAAGACCAAAGUGGGGGACCUUCGGGCCUCAUGCCAUCAGAUGUGCCCAGAUGGGAUUAGCUAGUAGGUGGGGUAACGGCUCACCUAGGCGACGAUCCCUAGCUGGUCUGAGAGGAUGACCAGCCACACUGGAACUGAGACACGGUCCAGACUCCUACGGGAGGCAGCAGUGGGGAAUAUUGCACAAUGGGCGCAAGCCUGAUGCAGCCAUGCCGCGUGUGUGAAGAAGGCCUUCGGGUUGUAAAGCACUUUCAGCGGGGAGGAAGGCGAUAAGGUUAAUAACCUUGCCGAUUGACGUUACCCGCAGAAGAAGCACCGGCUAACUCCGUGCCAGCAGCCGCGGUAAUACGGAGGGUGCAAGCGUUAAUCGGAAUUACUGGGCGUAAAGCGCACGCAGGCGGUCUGUCAAGUCGGAUGUGAAAUCCCCGGGCUCAACCUGGGAACUGCAUUCGAAACUGGCAGGCUAGAGUCUUGUAGAGGGGGGUAGAAUUCCAGGUGUAGCGGUGAAAUGCGUAGAGAUCUGGAGGAAUACCGGUGGCGAAGGCGGCCCCCUGGACAAAGACUGACGCUCAGGUGCGAAAGCGUGGGGAGCAAACAGGAUUAGAUACCCUGGUAGUCCACGCCGUAAACGAUGUCGAUUUGGAGGUUGUGCCCUUGAGGCGUGGCUUCCGGAGCUAACGCGUUAAAUCGACCGCCUGGGGAGUACGGCCGCAAGGUUAAAACUCAAAUGAAUUGACGGGGGCCCGCACAAGCGGUGGAGCAUGUGGUUUAAUU